UGCUUCCUGGGUGGCAACGCAGGGAGGAGGCCCUUACCUCUCCCUGGGAGGGCUCACCUGUCCUUUGGUACCUGGCUGCCUUUCAGCAGGUUGAGAGAUCACAAAAAGAGGCCGGCUGUGAAGGAGCAGCUGACUGCUGAGUUAGAGGAGGGCUCCAUGUCACCUUCAGGCCUUGCAUCUUCCCCAUCACCAGGUUCGCUGUCACCCACUUUCCUUCCCAGCCCCUCCUCACGCCACAGGGACCAGACACCAGCACGCACAGACCAGCAUGUGCCCUUGGGCUUUAUUGGGCUGGACGUCUUCCUCCUUGAUGGAAGGGACAGGAAGCAGAGGCGACAGUCCUUCUGUGAGGAGCAGCUUCUCUUCCGUCACCGGUCCUGCUGUGGGCAGAGGGGCCGCCCCCUCGUCCGCUAGCAGCACCUGGAAGGGAAGCAGGACACGCUGAAAGGGAGCCCCGCAGAGUCCAUCAGGCACUGGGGGUACACACGCUUAUCGCUGAGACGAAUGUCUUGCUGGUUUGGUGCUGAUCCUCUUGUCUUCAAAGUCUUGAAGGCUAUUAAAUAUGAGACUGUGUGAUGAAGGUGGUAGUUCAAUUCUGGGGGUAAAAGAGCAUUUUCUAUGGGUGCUGGAUGCACCCAUCCAAGAGAAAAUAAAAGGGAUGUCUGUUUCAUACAAGGCCUUAAACAGGAAAACUAAAAUCAUUCAAAUCCUGAAAGGCAAUCUAGGAGAGUAUGUCUACAAUCUGAGGGUGAGCAGCGGGGCUAAACCAAGACUGGAACCCCAGAAGCUGUAAAAGAGAAGAGAGACAUAUUUGACUAUAUAAAAAUAUAAAUCUAACUGUGGCAAGAGAGAUCAUAAAGUUAAGAAGCAAAUAAGAGGAGUAAAAAAUAUCUGAAAAGACAAGUUACGAACUCAUUAACAAAACCCUGUAAGAAGGCAGGCCAUGACUGUAAAUAAGCAUCUCAUAGUGAACGAUUCCAAGUGACCAAACAUGGUGAGCAGCUGCUGACGUACCUGUAAGCAGAAGAUGAAAUGAAACAAGCAAGUAUCCUUAACACACUGGACAUGGGCAAGUAUUGAAAAGAGUGAUGAUACCAAUUGCCGGCAAACAUACGUCUUGUUGGUAUGUAUGUGAAUUAUCACAGAUUUUUCUUAAAAUCAAUCUUGCAGUAUUUAAUAAACUUUAAAACACUUGCCCCCUCAGCAAUCUCAUGUCUUGCUCUCUACCCACAGAAAUAAAAGCACCAGCAAGAAAGAUACUUGCAAAGGUAUUUAUUACAAUGGUAGUCAUAGGGCAAAAAAAGCCAGAAAAAAUGUGCCCAUGAAAGCGGAAUGGUUAUGGCAAAGCCACACCAUGGACUACUAUGUGCCAUUAAAAAAUAGUGAAUAAGGAGCUUCCCUGGUGAUCCAGUGGUUAAGAAUCCACGUUCCAAUGCA
Non-coding RNA from Odocoileus virginianus texanus, 1437 nucleotides. The record is from RefSeq and is a predicted model, not a curated record. Lineage: Eukaryota; Metazoa; Chordata; Mammalia; Artiodactyla; Cervidae.